ACUUAGACCAUACUAAGUCUAUGGAAUGUUAAGCAGUGUUAAAGUUAGAAUGUGAUGUGAGCAGUUGCAUGUUAAGUGUAAAUACUAUUUAUUGCCUACAUAGCUAUGACUUGCCAUUGGAGGGCUGGUAAGCAGGGUUCUGGCUAAAAGCUGAGAUACCUGGGCUGUAUUCCUGCU
This is a long non-coding RNA of Gavialis gangeticus (Gharial), 177 nucleotides long. RefSeq lists it as uncharacterized. The transcript has 3 exons. NCBI's taxonomy places the organism in Eukaryota, Metazoa, Chordata, Crocodylia, Gavialidae. The record is from RefSeq and is a predicted model, not a curated record.